CGCCUGGGGAGUACGGGUGAGGUAACGGCUCACCAAGGCGACGACGGGUAACCGGCCUGAGAGGGUGACCGGCCACACUGGGACUGAGACACGGCCCAGACUCCUACGGGAGGCAGCAGUGGGGAAUAUUGCACAAUGGGCGAAAGCCUGACGCAGCAACGCCGCGUGCGGGAUGAAGGCCCUAGGGUUGUAAACCGCUUUCAGCAGGGAAGAAAAUGACGGUACCUGUAGAAGAAGGUGCGGCCAACUACGUGCCAGCAGCCGCGGUGACACGUAGGCACCAAGCGUUGUCCGGAUUUAUUGGGCGUAAAGAGCUCGUAGGCGGUUCAGUAAGUCGGGUGUGAAAACUCUGGGCUCAACCCAGAGACGCCACCCGAUACUGCUGUGACUAGAGUGCGGUAGGGGAGCGGGGAAUUCCUAGUGUAGCGGUGAAAUGCGCAGAUAUUAGGAGGAACACCAAUGGCGAAGGCACAUCUCUGGGCCGUAACUGACGCUGAGGAGCGAAAGCGUGGGGAGCGAACAGGAUUAGAUACCCUGGUAGUCCACGCCGUAAACGGUGGGUGCUAGCUGUGGGCCACAUUCCACGUGGUCCGUGACGAAGUUAACACAUUAAGCACCCCGCCUGGGGAGUACGG
This 635-nucleotide ribosomal RNA is filed under the name uncultured Actinomycetes bacterium. Its description in RNAcentral is "bacterial SSU rRNA". It matches the Rfam family "Bacterial small subunit ribosomal RNA", at positions 234 to 885 of the family's 1533-position model. Lineage: Bacteria; Bacillati; Actinomycetota; Actinomycetes. The record is from RNAcentral.